GAUGAACGCUGGCGGCGUGCUUAACACAUGCCAGUCGAACGGGAAACCUUUUAUUGAAGCUUCGGCAGAUUUAGUUGGUUUCUAGUGGCGGACGGGUGAGUAACGCGUGGGUAACCUGCCUUAUACAGGGGGAUAACAACCAGAAAUGGUUGCUAAUACCGCAUAAGCGCACAGGACCGCAUGGUCCGGUGUGAAAAACUCCGGUGGUAUAAGAUGGACCCGCGUUGGAUUAGCUAGUUGGCAGGGUAACGGCCUACCAAGGCGACGAUCCAUAGCCGGCCUGAGAGGGUGAACGGCCACAUUGGGACUGAGACACGGCCCAGACUCCUACGGGAGGCAGCAGUGGGGAAUAUUGCACAAUGGGGGAAACCCUGAUGCAGCGACGCCGCGUGAAGGAAGAAGUAUCUCGGUAUGUAAACUUCUAUCAGCAGGGAAGAUAGUGACGGUACCUGACUAAGAAGCCCCGGCUAACUACG
This 476-nucleotide ribosomal RNA is filed under the name uncultured bacterium. RNAcentral describes it as "partial 16S ribosomal RNA". It matches the Rfam family "Bacterial small subunit ribosomal RNA", at positions 28 to 505 of the family's 1533-position model. The record is from RNAcentral.